RNAcentral lists this ribosomal RNA (445 nucleotides) under uncultured bacterium. RNAcentral's name for it is "bacterial SSU rRNA". It matches the Rfam family "Bacterial small subunit ribosomal RNA", at positions 331 to 792 of the family's 1533-position model. The record is from RNAcentral.
CCAGACUCCUACGGGAGGCAGCAGUGGGGAAUAUUGCACAAUGGGGGAAACCCUGAUGCAGCAACGCCGCGUGAGUGAGGAAGUAUUUCGGUAUGUAAAGCUCUAUCAGCAGGGAAUAGAAAAGAAGGUACCUGAAAAAGAAGCCCCGGCUAACUACGUGCCAGCAGCCGCGGUAAUACGUAGGGGGCGAGCGUUGUCCGGAAUUACUGGGCGUAAAGAGAGCGUAGGCGGCACUACAAGUCUCAUGUGAAAUACCCGGGCUUAACUUGGGGGUUGCAUGGGAAACUGUAGAGCUUGAGUACAGGAGAGGCAAGCGGAAUUCCUAGUGUAGCGGUGAAAUGCAUAGAUAUUAGGAGGAACACCAGUGGCGAAGGCGGCUUGCUGGACUGAAACUGACGCUGAGGCUCGAAAGCGUGGGGAGCAAACAGGAUUAGAUACCCUGGUA